This 495-nucleotide ribosomal RNA is filed under the name uncultured soil bacterium. Its description in RNAcentral is "bacterial SSU rRNA". It matches the Rfam family "Bacterial small subunit ribosomal RNA", at positions 26 to 506 of the family's 1533-position model. The record is from RNAcentral.
AGAUUGAACGCUGGCGGCAUGCUUUACACAUGCAAGUCGUGCGGCAGCGCGGGGGCAACCCUGGCGGCGAGCGGCGAACGGGUGAGGAAUACAUCGGAACGUACCCCGGAGUGGGGGAUAACCCAGCGAAAGUUGGACUAAUACCGCAUAUGCUCUGAGGAGGAAAGCAGGGGACUUCGCAAAGAGGCCUUGCGCUCUGGGAGCGGCCGAUGUCCGAUUAGCUAGUUGGUGGGGUAAUGGCUCACCAAGGCGACGAUCGGUAGCUGGUCCGAGAGGAUGAUCAGCCACACUGGGACUGAGACACGGCCCAGACUCCUACAGGAGGCAGCAGUGGGAAUUUUGGACAAUGGGGGCAACCCUGAUCCAGCCAUGCCGCGUGCGGGAAGAAGGCCGUUCGGUGUAAACCGCUUUGGUCGGUAAGAAAGGAAGGACGUUGAAGUACGGCUAGGUCUUUGACGGUACCGGCGAGAAGUAAAGCAACCGGCUAACUAACGU